Molecule: ribosomal RNA, 493 nt
Filed under: uncultured bacterium
Lineage: Bacteria
Description: partial 16S ribosomal RNA
Rfam family: Bacterial small subunit ribosomal RNA
Source: RNAcentral
AUUGAACGCUGGCGGCAUGCCUUACACAUGCAAGUCGAACGGUAACAGGUUAAGCUGACGAGUGGCGAACGGGUGAGUAAUGUAUCGGAACGUGCCCAGUCGUGGGGGAUAACUGCUCGAAAGAGCAGCUAAUACCGCAUACGACCUGAGGGUGAAAGCGGGGGAUCGCAAGACCUCGCGCGAUUGGAGCGGCCGAUAUCAGAUUAGGUAGUUGGUGGGGUAAAGGCCCACCAAGCCAACGAUCUGUAGCUGGUCUGAGAGGACGACCAGCCACACUGGGACUGAGACACGGCCCAGACUCCUACGGGAGGCAGCAGUGGGGAAUUUUGGACAAUGGGCGCAAGCCUGAUCCAGCCAUGCCGCGUGCGGGAAGAAGGCCUUCGGGUUGUAAACCGCUUUUGUCAGGGAAGAAAAGGUUCUGGUUAAUACCUGGGACUCAUGACGGUACCUGAAGAAUAAGCACCGGCUAACUACGUGCCAGCAGCCGCGGUAA